UAUUAAUUUCAGGGACCCUGUGUUACGUGUGUUUUAAGAGUGAAAAUGCACCUGUGUUUGAUUAGCAAGACUGGAGGUGCAUUUAAAUCGUGUCUCUGCUAAAAUCCGAAGCUUGGCUUUAGAGCGACUGAGUACGCGCAGUGUUUAAUAGCGGAAGAUCGGACUUGCUGAAAAAAAUACAGUAGCUUGGUUGGAAAACCUCGGUCAUUUUAAAAGAGGGAACCCGCUUCUGAUUUAAUAAGGACCGGAUCGGGAGGAAUAUCUCAGAUUCCCACUGAUUUUAUUAUAAUGUCUGCGCAGCUCGCUCCGUGAAUGCAAGGCGUAAUGUUAGCGUGGGAUUUUGUGUUUAAAAUGAUUACAAUCUAUCGUCCCUACUUCCUCAUUCCCAUCGCCCGGCAUUGCAACAGCGAAGCAAUAUCUCAUUUUCCCUCUGCCACUGUGUGUACUCACACCGAGACUACAGCUUUGUGCGUUCUCUCUCUCUCUCUUCUAUUCUUCCCUCUCCCCCUCUCCUAUUCUUACUUUCCCCACCCCAUACAGUCCUGGGAGAUGUUAAUCCCCAGCCGCCCUCCCCGAAUUUGCCAGCGAUGGUUUCUGCCCGCUCUGUUAUCUGCAUGUGCACUCUAGUGUAAGCAGACCCACAAAACCUCCCCGGCGUUUGCAAGCGGAGGGCUUUCUGAAAUGGAUUGUUUCAGUGAAUGAGAUUUUCUCAGCCGGGUCCGGAGCUUGUUGUAGAACGCGGGAGUGUCAGCUUCUUUCCUCACUGGUAUCCACUUUAAGAGCCAGGCAUUGCUGGAACCUUUGCGUUCGCUAUUGAAAUGGAGUGGUCUCGGAGCCGCAUGGAACUCGGUGUAUUCUCUUCAAAUAAGUUGCAUUGCAGUAUUGAUCUGGCAGCGCACUUGUUGACGCCGAUGGCCCGGCCGCUCACCCCCUCCCUUCGCGGCUUGCCGCUCCUGUUGCCCCUGCUCGUCGCCCUGUACCCGGUGCCCGGCUGCGUGGCGCAGGGCUCGGUGAAGUUCACCUUCCCGGAGGAGCAGCCGCCCAACACGCUGAUCGGUAACCCGGGCGAGACACUGGGUCUGGAGCGAGAGAACCGGCUAUUCAAGUUGGAAAUGGGCCAGCCUUACCUCCGGGUGGACGAGACGGGAGGCAACCUCUACACCACCGAGACCCCCAUCGACCGCGAGCAGAUGAUGUGCGAGAGCCCCACCGAGUGCCAGCUAGAGUUCGAGAUCUCGGUCACCGACACCUUGUACAACACUGCCACAGUGCUCGUGGAAGGCAAGAUUUCGGUGCAGGACAUUAACGACAACACUCCCACGUUCAGCUCUCCGGUCAUCUCCAUCUCCAUUCCGGAACACACACCUCCGGGGACUCUGGUCAAUAUCCCCACGGCCAGCGACCGCGACUCCGGCACUAACGGAGUCGCCGGCUACGAACUGUUGGGCAACGAGGGACAGGGUCUGUUCAGCCUACAGGUGGCCGAGGAACAUGGCGAGAAGUUGCCUCAGCUGAUCGUCACCGGCUCGCUGGACAGGGAGCAACGGGACACUUACGAUCUGACUGUGCGGGUGGUAGACGGGGGUCAGCCACCCCGGAGCAGUACCUCGGUGUUGCGGGUUACCGUGCUGGACAUUAACGACAACGCACCCCGCUUCGAGAGGUACGCCUACCAAGGAACGGUAGAGGAGAACAGCCCCGCCGGUACCUCCAUCCUGCAGGUGAGAGCUACCGAUAUGGACAUGGGAGAGAACUCCCGCAUCGAGUACACUUUCGCCCAGGCGGCGGAUAAUGCCCGCCGUCUACUCCGCCUGGACAAGAACACCGGCUGGAUCACGGUGCAGGGACCGGUGGACCGUGAGCAAUUCAGCCAAUUCCGGUUCUACGUGCACGCCCGCGACAAGGGCCCCAUACCCAAACAGGACAGGGCGUCGGUGGUGAUCACGGUGCGGGACACUAACGACAACGCGCCGGCGAUCGAAAUCCGAGGCAUCGGGCUGGUCACUCACCGGGACGGCGUGGCCAGCAUUGACGAGGACGCGCCUGUCGACUCCCCCGUGGCUCUUGUCCAAGUUUCGGACCGCGACGAGGGGGAGAACGCGGCGGUGACUUGUAUAGUGGCCGGGGACGUCCCUUUCCAGCUGAAGCCCGCCAGUGAGUCGAGCAGUGAAAAGAAGAAGAAGUUCUUUCUGCAGACCACCACCGCCCUGGACUACGAGAAGGUGCGCGAGUACCUGAUCCAGAUCGUGGCAGUGGAUUCGGGCAACCCACCUCUUUCCAGCACCAACACUCUAAAGGUGAAGGUGGUGGAUGUGAACGACAACGCGCCCAGCUUCGCGCAGAGCCGCAUGCAGGUGGGAAUCUUGGAGAAUAACCGGCCCCCCACCUCGCUGCUGCGUGUGGAGGCCACGGACGCCGAUAGCGGAAGCAACGCCGAGCUACUCUACUCCCUAUAUCCCGACCCGGCCAUCCAGAACUUGUUCCAGAUUAACCCGGACACGGGCGAGGUGAGAGCCAUCUCGGUGCUGGACCGCGAGCAGAGGGAGCGCUACGAGUUCAAAGUCGCUGCCGCCGACAAGGGGACCCCUAGUCUGAAGGGGACGGCCACAGUGGUGGUCAAUGUGCUGGACGAGAACGACAACGAUCCCCGGUUCAUGCUUAACGCCUAUAACUUCUCGGUGCGGGAGAAUUUGCCCCCGUCCAGUCCAGUGGGCAUGGUGACGGUGACGGACCUGGACAAGGAGUCGAAUGCGCGGUUCACCCUGUUCGUAGAACCGGAUAAUGGCGAGUUUGAGAUCCAGAACGGCACGGGUACCAUACUCUCUCGGAUCUCCUUCGACCGGGAGCGCCAGAGCACCUACACCUUCCAGCUGAAGGCAAUAGACAGCGGAAUGCCCCCCAGGUCCGCCUAUGUCAGUGUUAUCAUUAAUGUUUUGGAUGAAAACGACAACACACCCUUCAUCACCCAACCAUCCAAUUCCUCCUUCCAACACAUCAGUCCUCUCACCUCCAUUGGCACAACAGUAGAACGAGUCAAGGCCGAAGACAUGGACAUUGGCCCCAAUGCCAACUUGACUUAUGAGAUCGUUGGAGGUAAUCCCUUUGACCUGUUCCGCAUCUCUGCUGUCGGGAACGUGACCCUGGAGAAGGAACUCGUGCGCAGGCACUACGGGUUGCACCGGCUUGUGGUUCAGGUUAGGGAUGGGGGCACGCCAGCCCGCUUCGCCACCGCUUUGGUUCACUUGUAUGUCAACGACACCAUGGCCAACGUUAGCCUGGUGGAAGCCCUGGUGGGCCACAGCCUCAACACUCCGCUGAACGUAGACAUCGCCGGAGACCCCGAGUACGAGAAGAGCAAGCAACGGAGCAACGUCCUAUUCGGAGUGAUCGCUGGGAUUAUCGCAGUCACGCUGGUGAUCGUGGUGGUGGUCCUGAUCCGCUACUGUAGGCAGAAGGAAGCCAAGAGUGGAUACCAGGCCGGCAAAAAGGAAACCAAGGAUUUGUACACACCCAAACAGACCAAUAAAAAUACCAAGCACAAAGUUAAGAAAAGCAAGCCAUCCAAACCCUCCAAACCUCUGGACGCCGAGGAGAGCGGCGCCCAGAGGGGAUUACAAUUCAACUUGAUCAACGAAUCGAGCACUGACAGUCCACGGAUUCACCUGCCGCUGAACUGUAACCCGGGUAGCCCCGACCUAGGGAGACACUACAGGUCGAACUCUCCUCUCCCUUCCAUCCAGCUGCACCCGCAGUCCCCGACUGCGGGGAAAAAGCACCAAGUCGUGCAAGACCUGCCCGCAGCCAACACCUUCGUCGGGACUGGGGACAGCAACUCUACUGGCUCGGACCAGUACUCAGAUUACAGCUACAAGACCAAUCCGCCGAAGUACAACAAACAGAUGCUGCUCAACCCUCAGAGUUCCUCCAGCAGAUUGCUUGCUGCUCCAGAGUCCACCAUCAUGGGAAUACCUUCACCAGAAGGACUUCAGUGGUUCAAGAAGGUGGCUCCUCACCACUUUCACAGGGGCAGUUAAGGAUGGACAAUAAACUCUGGCCUUGUUAAUGAUGCCCGAAUCCCCCAUAAUCUGAACAAAUAAAAUUCAAUAUUUAUUCAGUAACUUCAACAUGCGUGACUAAUUAUCAUUAUUAAUAACUGGCAGGUGUUCAAAUUAACAUUGAAUAAAACAAAUUGCUGAUCUCAAGAUGAGGUCUAAAUAUGGAAGAGAAAGAUUGGCUUUCUUUGUCACAUGUACGGUACUAUGCAAAGUCUUAUGUACCCGUAAAACAACCCUGUAAAGUGAAAUCGCUUUCAAAAAUAAUGAAAUGAAAAGUUUCUAAAUAUCAAAAAAAAUUACUAGAAGGAGCAAUAAACAGUAAAAAGAACAGUAAAUCAAAUCAAUAUUUGAUGUGACCAGCCUUUGCCUCUAAAACUCCAUUAAUUCUCUUAGAUACACUGUUGUGCAGUUUUAUUGGAAAAUUGGCUGGUAGGUUGUUCCAAGCAUCUUGGAGAAUUUGCCACAGUUUUUUGCAGACUUUGGCUGUCUCUGUCUUUCUAGGUAAUCCCAGAUAGUCUAGAUGAUGUUGAGAUCAGGGCUGUGGAAGCCAUAGCAUCUGAAACUAUAUAAAGAAUCAGAGGUGCCUAAGACUUUUGCACGGUACUGCAUAUCAAAAUAUACAGGGAGAUGUGUCACUUGCAUCAUAUCAAAUCAGCGAGGGUUGUGCUGUGUAGCCCACAAAUGCUUCUUAUGCUAACAUAGCAUGCCCGCAGCCCUCUAACCCUAACCUGUAUGCCUUUGGAAUGUGGGAAAAUACCAGAGCGUGCGGAGGAAACACACGUGGUCACAGGGAGAACAAGCAAACUCUUCACAGGCCGUGGUGGAAAUUGAAUCCUGAUUAUUGAUGCUGUAAAGUGAUUGUGUUAACUCUCUGCUACCCUGCCAUCCCGAGCGAAAGGGAAGGAACGCUUCAUGGACUUGCAUGUAGGAAACACAUGGUUGGACAAAAUGCAACAUGCACCACUCUGGUCAUGAUAGUCCUCAGGGACUGAACCGCUAGUGCUUUGAGAUUCGUGAAGAGGUAAGGAGAUACCUGACUACCAGCGAGGUCUGAGUGAAGGAAACGGAAAGUAACUAAGGCAGCAGCAAAGGCACUGGGGUGCCAUGAUGGGAGAGACGGGAGCCAAAGGAACGCUGAGAGCGAGAGAAGCCGCUGAUGGAAAGGUCCGAGGGGGGACACUCCCCACCUCCUCCAGCCCUCCUCCACUGUGCAGGAAGCUUUGAGAGACUUGACGAGGAUCGGAACUGACCGCCGCUGUGUGUUCACAGAACUGAUCAUCACAGAACUGCAUUUGAAUGGACGGUACAGAGAAAAGGCCAUCAGGUUUUGGCUUAUCUAUUCUGGUCUUUAUGCUUCACAUGAGCUGCCUCUUUCCACUGCUGUCCCGUUCCCUCACCACCUCCACUCCAUCUACUCCUGGCUCCAAAAUCCAGCUUCACCUUGACUGUGUCUCUGCUAUUUACCUGUGGCUGCAGAUUUCACCUUCUCUCAACUUCUCUGGGUAACGGAUUACCUGAUGGAUGUAUGGGUGAUUCUCUCUUGUAAUUAUGGACUCACCUUUUUUGUCUUCACAAGUCAAGGGAACAUCUACAGUUUUUGUCACUUUUAAAGAAUCCUCCUCGGUUCACCCACCCCUCGUCAAAUACAUUUGUUUGAACACUGAUAUGUCUGUGUCCUGUCCCCUACAGGUGCAACUGUGCAAUAAACGUGAUGGCUGCGAUUUUUACAAGAAUGAAUUUAAACUUUGCUGACACAAAUCAUUUGAUGUUCUAGCCAUGUAUGGAUUUUUUAUUUUAUUCAGACACACUUGCCUGCCAUGGCUUAGAUCUCACUGGAGUGCAGUUCCUUGAAUUGAUCACCAGUCAAUAAGGACUACACGUGCUCAGCACUAAAAUUUUCUGGGAUAUUCCUCACUGUUGUUCUUCCCCGGUAUUCACCUUCACUCUGGAAAGUUUGGCUUUUGAGAACACCAGUUUUGCCUUCUUCACUUUCCCUUCACUAAUUAAAAUAAAAUUUACUUCCAUUUUGAGUACCACCCUUAGCAAGUCCAGUCCAGUCAAUUCUAUUUGUCGUAUGCACAAUUAUGGUGAGCUACAGGGACAAUGAAAACUUACUGACAGCAACACCUAGAUUCAGACACACAGAAAACAUGAGUCGUACAUAACUUGUACAAGACAGUGAAGAAAAAUAACUGUGCAAGAGGAGAUAUUCCAAUCAUGCAAGAGGUGUUGUGUAGCCCGUCAGUUCAGGACCUGAAUGGUGUAGACACACCAACAUAUCUCGGAGCUUUGGAGAGCUACUCUCAAACAAAGCUUAACUUCGCACAACUUGAGCGAUUGUACUGGGAGCAAUUGUGUGCCCCUUAUCUAAGAAAGGAUGUGCUGGCAUUGGAGAGGGUCCAGAGAAGGUUGAGAAGAAAGAUCCCAGGAAUGAAACAGUUUAUGUAUGAAGAGCGAAUGGUGGCUCUGGGCCUGUACAUGCUGGAGUACAGAAGAAUUAAGAGGGAUCUCAUUGAAACCUAUAGAGUAGUGAAAGGCCUUGAUAGAUUGGACCUGGAGAGGAUGUUUCCAAUAGUUAGGGAGUCUAGGACCAGAGAGCACAGCUUCAGAAUACAAGGACAUUCCUUCAGAAAGGAGAUGAAGAGGAAUUUCUUUAAUCAGAGGGUGGUGAAUUUGUGGAAUUUUUUGCCACAGAUGACUGUGGAAGCCAAGUCAUUGGGUAUAUUUAAAGCAGAGAUUGAUAAGUUCUUGAUUAGUAAGAACAUCCAAAGUUAUGGGGAAAAGAUAGGAGAAUGGGGUUGAGAGGGAAAAUAAAUUAGCCAUGAUGAAAUGGUGGAGCAGAUUCUAUGGGUGAAUGACCUAAUUCUGCUCUUAUGUCUUAUGGUCUAAUAUUUCAAUAUUAUUGGGCACUGAAUGGUAUAAAUUUCAAGGAAUCUUAAAGGAAGAAGAAAAUAGGCAGAGAGGUUAUGGGAGAGAAUUGCAAAGUUUUGGGCUUGGACAGUUGCAGGUAUGGCUUUUAACAGUGGACAUAUCUAUUUGGAUAAUUGAAGGGAGCUUAAGUUAUCAGUCAUAGUAACCGGAGUUGAGGAGUUUUGAUUUAAAGGGUUCCAAUCUCAUUCUGGAAGCUGGAGAAUUUAAAUUUAAAUCAUAAAACAAUUUUGAAAUUUAACAUUUAGGCAAGAAAGCUGAACUUAGUAAUAGUGAUCGUGAAACUUCUGGAUUCUCAAAGUCAAAGUAAUUUUUUUUAACCAUAGUAUGUCCUGUAUAUGUCACCAUAUACUUGAGGUUCAUUUUAUUGCAGGCAUUCACAGUAGAACAAAGAAGUGUGAUAGAAUCAAUGAAAAACUACACACAAGGAAUGACAAAAAAAAUCUUCAAAGAAGACAAACUGUGCAAAUACAAAAAAACCCUAAAAACAUGAGUUCUCGAGUCCUUGAAAGUGGGUCCAAUAAGUUCAGAGUUGAGGUGAGUGAAGUUGUCCACACUGGUUCAGGAGCCUGAUGGUUGAAGGGUAAUAACUGUUCCUGACCCUGAUGAAGUGAGACCUAUAUCUGUGAAGGACAUCUAUCACACGUGCCUGGUGUAGCCUUAUAUGACUCCGGAUAUAUUAAGUUCAAACAUUGUUAAUUAACCAUACACAUGUAUACCAACAUUUUGUGGCUGAUUCUUAAGUACCUCCUCAGCUCAAAGAGAAUUAGAAAUAAACUGUAUUUGCCAAUAAUGUUCACAUCCUUAUAAAAAUGUAAACACACAAAAUUCCGCAGAUGCUGGAAAUCCAGAAUAACACGUACAAAGUGCUGGAGGAAUUCAGCAGGUCAGGCAGCAUCUAUGGAGAGGAAUAACAAGUCAAUAUUUCAGGCCAAGAUCCCUCAUCAGGAUCGAUCCUGAUGAAAGGUAUCAGCUCAAAAUAUUGACUCUUUAUUCCUUUCCGUGGAUGCUGCCUGACCUGCUGAAUUCCUCCAGCACUUCGUGUGUGUUACACUUGGAGUCAUAUGUUGUGAUUUCUGUGAAGAUAGGUCCUUUCAUUCAUGCUUUCAUUGACACUGGGGACUGAUUUGUGUGUGGCACAGUAAAGCAAGUGCAUUAAGAAUUAUAGAAAUUGGGCUGUGAUAUUAGAGUCGUACAAAUCAUUAGUCAGAUUGCGUACUUCUGGUCGCUGCACUAUGUAAGUUUGUGAUUAGGCUAGAGAGGGUGCAGAAAAGAUUCACAUGAACUUUGGCAGCUCUGGAGGUCUUGAGUUAUAGGCUGGAUAGGCUGGGAGUAUUUUUUCUGGACGAAAGGAGGAUGAUGACCAUAUAGAAGUUUAUACAAUUAGGUGGGGUAUGGAUAGACUUGAUAGUCGUUGUCUUUUUUCCAGGGUAGGGGAGUCUAAACAAAGGGGCAUUGGUGAGAUGGGAAUAAUUUAAAAAGGACCUGACCUAAGGGUAAAAUUUUUCAAACAGAAAAUUGUGGGUAGAUGGAACAAGCUGCCAAAGGAGGUAGUAAAGGCUGGUAUAGUUACAACAUUUAAUGGACAAGUACAUAGAUAGGGAUUCCUAACCUUUCUUAUACCAUGGACCAGCACCAUUAAACAAGGGGUACGUGGAGCCCAGGCUGGAAUGCCUGUUGUAGAGGAAUAUGGGCCAAGUGCAGGCAAAUGGGAUAAGCAUAGAUAGUUUGGUCAGCAUGAACAAGUUGGGCUGAAGGGUCUGUUUUUGUGCUGUGUAACUCCAUGAACCUUCAAGUCUAUGAGAAACACAUUACCACACCAGACACCAGCAUGCCACAUAAGUGUUGCAGUGAGGGAUUCCUUACAUCAGCUCUGGAUUUUGGCUCAUCUCUCGAUCCCUCCUGUAUCUGUGUUCUCCAAGCCAGUCCAUACAGCCUCAUCGCCUGAAACACCUUGCAGAGAAAGGUACAGGGACAAGACUCUGAAUCCUCAAUUAUUAAUUCAUCAAGCAGUGCAGAACAAGGGCUGUAGCUAAAUUUCUUUGCAGUUCAAAGUUCAAAUCCAAGUUGAUUAUCAAUUGUUCAGAGAUCUAUUUUCUUGUGGGCAUUCACAGUGGAUACAGAUAAACACAAUAGAUCCAAUGAACGUCUGCACACAAACUGAUGGACAAGCAUCCAAUAUUCAAAAGAUAACAAAUAGUGCAAAUACAAAAUAUUUAAAAAAUAAUAAAUAAGUAACUAAAUAAUAUUGAAAACAUGAGUUGCAGAGUUCUUGAAAGUGAGGCCGUGGGCUGUAAAGUCAUUUCUAGGUUGGGGUGAAUGAAGUUAUCCACUUUAUUCUGAUGGUUGAGGGGUAUUAACUCUUCCUGAUCCUGGUAGUGUGGGUCCUAAGGCUCCUGUACUUUCUUCCAGAUGAGAAAUGAGAAGCGAAGAUUGCCUGAAUGACAGGGGUUCUUGUAGAUGUGCUCAAUGGUGGGGGGAGGGGGGCUUUAGCUGUGAUUGACUGGGUUGUAUCCACUACAUUUUGUUGGCUUUUCCAUUCAAAGACGAUCAAAGCCAUUCCUCUGUGUCCUGGAGUCCCGGAACAAGGCCAAUUCCCUCAUUCCAGCAAGUAAAGCUCUGGAUACUUAAGCGGUUACUAGAUGGUAAAGCUGGGCACCUUGCUGAAUGCAAAUUUUUCUACAUUUUCAGAUGUUCCUUAAAAGAAAACUGUCAAAUGUUUAAUAGUGCCUCAUGUGACUCGGUAUCAGGUUUCAUCUGAUAAUGAUCCAAUGAAAUGCUUGGUGUGUUUUCCACUUUUAGAGGGACUAUGCAAAUACAAGUAGUUAUUAAUUGUGACAGUUCUUGGACUGGAGGCGUUUAUUUCUGGUGGGGAGUGUGGGGGAAGACAAGAAAGGAAUAAAGUGCAGUGAGAUGUUAGAUUUAGAACCCUAAAUCAAAUAAUGAACGACAGAUGAAGUUAUGCAAUUUGCUUUGGGUUAGUAUAUCCCAAAAUGCAAUUUAAGAUUUAUUAAUGUUUCAAUCAAUUACUGCUGGUUUGGCUGACUAUCCUAGUUUAAUCUUGCUUGAGAAAUAUAGAUAAAGGAGGUGAUGGAAGGGAGCAAUAAUGCUGGAUGAUUCAGUAGGAAAGAGAAUGCCAAUAUGUUAUACUCGAUAAAUAUCCUGCUAAUAACAUAAUUAAUAUCUCAAAUAGUAUCUGGAAUGAAGGCAGAAAAGAAGGUGUUGUUAUUCCACGUGUCCUGGACAAUAUCCCAUGCCACAUCUGUGAAACAAACUUAAUUUAUUAGUUACUAUGGAGGAGCAUGUUGUUUGGAGUCAGUCGCCACAUUUCCAAUACACUCACUGGCCAGUUUAUUAACUACUCCUGUACAUUUGCUUGUUAAUGCAAAUAUCUAAUUAGCCAAUCAUGUAGCAGCAACUCAAUGUAUGUUCAUGAUCUUCUGCUGCAGUAGCUCAUCCACUUCAAGGUUCAAUGUGUUGUGUGCUCAGAGAUGCUCUGCUCCACACCAUUGCUGUAAUGUGUGGUUAUCUGAGUUACUGUCAGUUUGAACCAGUCUGGUCAGUCUCCUUUGACCGCUCUCACUAACAAGGCGUUUUUGCCCACAGAACUGCUCACUGAAAGCUUUUUGUUUUUUUGCACCAUUCUCUGAAAACUCUGCAGAUUGUUGUGCUUGAACAAUCAGCAGUUUAUGAGAUACUCAAACCACCCCGUCUUAUCACCAGCAUUCAUUCCGUGGUCAAAAUCAUGCCAAUUACAUUUCUUCCCCAUUCUGGGAAUGCCCGUGCCCGCAUGCUUUUGUUCAUUGAGUUGCUGUCAAAUGAUUGGCUGUUUAGCUAUUUGCAUUAACAAGCGGGUAUACCUAAUAAAGUCGCCAUUGAUAAGUUGUCCAACACGGAUGGUGUUCCUGGAUGGGACUUGCCAUGUACACAAAGUAGUUAUAAGGGCAGAGAUUAAAGAUACUGCAGAAUUUAACUCACCUCCUAACUAAUUGGAACACUCAAGAAGCUGGACACCAUACAGUACGUAGGAACCAAGUUGAUAGGCAGCCAUCCACAGCCAGUCACUCACACCUCACUCCAAGAGCUGUGAUGGUAGAGAAACAUACAUUAGGGUAAUUUAUGAAACUUGUAGAUAGAAAAAUAAGGGCUAUGUAGGAGGGAAAGGUUAGAUUGAUCUCAUAUGUUAAAAGGUUGGCACAACGUCAGCCGAAGGUCCUGGUCUGUGUUGUGCUUUUCAUUAAUGCACAGUAGCAGUUUUUUUUAAACCAUAUACUGGGUGUACUGCAGCAACUCACUGUGGGGGUAGCAUAGAGUUAGCACAACACUUUACUGUGCUGGCAACCCGAAUUCAGUUCCCAUCACUGCCUGUAAGGAGUUUGUAUGUUUUUCCCGUGACCGCAUGGGUUUCCUCUGGGUGCGCCGGUGUCCUCCCACAGUCCAAAGACAUACCAGUUGAUAGGUUCAUUGGUCAUUGUAAAUUGUCCCAUGAUUAGUCUCUCAUUAAGUCAUGGAAUUUCUGUGCGGCACAGCUGAAAAGGCCUAUUCCACGCUGUAUCUCAAUAAAUAAAUAAGGUCUCCUUGGGCAGCACCUUCCAAACCCACAAUCUCUACCAGAUAGAAAAAGGCCAGUAAAUGUACGGGACACAGCACCACCUAGAAGGUCCCCUUGUACCUACACAGGAGCUGACUCAGAAAUAUAUUGCCGUUUAUUCACCGUCUCUAGGUUGAAACCUGGAGCUCUCUCCCUAAUAUCAUGUGGGGAUAUCCACGUGUCAAGGACUGCAGCAGUUCAAAACGACAGUUUGCCACCACUUUCUCAAGGGCAGCUUGCCAAUUAACUUCAGUCUGUGAAACUCACAUCCAUUGAAUGAAUUCAUAAAGCCUUUACAUGACACAUGACCAAGAUCUAGUCUAGUCAUCCAUCAUCACAAUGCACCAAUUACAAACAGAAGAGAUUUUGCAGAUGCUGGAAAUCCAGAGCAAAGCACACAAAAUGCUGGAGGAAAUUAGCAGGUCACGCAGCAGCUAUGUGCAGGAAUAAACAGUGAAAGUUUUGGGCUGAGAUCUUUCAUCAGGACCUUACAUCAUAGUUUAGAUGAAGUGUCUUUGCCCAAAACAUGAACUGUUUAUUCCACUCCAUAGAUGCUGCCUGACCCGCUGAGUUCCCCCAGCAAUUGGUUUGUGUUGCACCAAUUACAAAAACCUCUUUAUCACCUAAUAGAAUAUCAAAAUACUUUUGCACAGUACUGUAGAUAGAGAGGAUGAUUCCUGCAGUGGGAGAGUUUAGAACCAGAGGGCACAUCCAUUUAGAGCAGAGAUGAGGAGGAAUUUCUUUAGCCUGAGGAUGGAGUUCAUUACCACAGGUGGGUGUGGAGGACAAGCCAUUGGGUAUACUUAAAGAAGACUUUGAAUAGUAAGGCUGUGAAAGGUUACAGGGAUAAUAAGUUGAGAGGGGUAAUAAAUCAGCCAUGAUGGAAAGGCACAGCAGACUCGAUGGGCUGAAUGGCCAUGUGUUUUAUAGUCUAAAAAAUCAUAUAGAGAGUAGUUCAAAUCUAGUAAUGGGUGGAGGAUAUCAGUUACACUCAGCACAUUCAAGAUGCUUUGAGAUGAGUUCCCUGAAAUAACAUUGAAGGUUGUAGACCACCUGCUGGAAACUGGGAUGAAUAUAGACAAGUACUUUAUGAUGAACAUAGACACGGAGAGCCGAAGUACCUGUUCUUUGUUGUAUAAUUCUAUAACUCAUUGCUCAGAGCCUCGUAAUCUGCUUGGCGGAUCUCUCUUUGGAAUCAAUAAAGGGCAGCCAUACCUUGAUUUGCAGAGGAGAUAAGUUCCUAGUAUUUGUUUCUUUGGUGAAAACUUGUAAACUGGUUGGUGAGUGUGGAAUGAGCUGCCUGCGAAGUGCUGGAUGUGGGGUCAAUUUCAACAUUUAAGAGAAAUGUGGGUAGUUACAUGGAUGGGAGGGCACUGGAGGGCUGUCGUCUGGGUGCUGGUUGAUGGUACGAGGCAUAGUAAUUGUUUAGCGUGGAAUAGAUGGUCUGAAGGUCCAGUUUCUGUACUGUGGUGUUCUAUGAUUAUGGUUCAGAUGUAUUAUGGGUGUUUUGGUCCAUGUUUUGCAAGUUUAAUUUUUAAAAUUUAUUUAUUGAGAUCCAGCGCAGAGUAGGCCCUCCCAGCCCUUCGAGCUGCACAGCCCUGCAAUCCCUCAAGUUAGUCCUAGCCUAAUCACGGGACCACUUACAAUGACCAAUUAACCUACUGACUGAUACAUCACUGGACCACCGUAGGAAAAUGGAGCACCCAGAGGUGAAGCACGCGGUCAUGGGGAAAACGUACACACAGCAGCAAGAAUUGAACCCUGGUCACCUGUACUGCAAAGAGUCGUGCUCACCGCUGUGCUACCGUUUGACCCCGUGGGUGAAGAAAGGCAUACUAUUUGUUGCAGCGAUGAAUCGCUUUAACAUAGAAUAAUUGGCAUUAGAAAAAAAAUGCAUAAACAGAAUUUGGUAAACUGGUAUUGGUCCUUUACUGUCACAAGUACUGAGCCGAAGUUGUUUUGUGUGCCUACCAAACAGACCAUGCCACAUAUCAAUACAUCAACAGAAUAAAAGGAAUACAGAAGUUAUUGAGCAACAAACACAAAAUGCAUACUUUGAUUAUAAAUUUACGUUGAACUUUUGAACACACGUAUUUCCUCAGAGAUUAGAUCAGAGGUUUGGCUCAUGGAAGAAAACAAAUUGGAAGACAAUGUGGGAGAGAAUAGUCAGAUCGAUCUUAGCGUAGGUUAAAAGAAACACACAUAAAAUGCUGGAGGGACCCAGCCAGGCCAGGCUGCGACUAUGGACAGGGAUGGAGUCGAUGUUUUGGGACAAGACCCUUCUUCAGUACUGAAAAGGAAAGAGGAAGAAGCCAGAAUAAGAAGGUGGGGGAGGAGAAAGACUACAAUUUGGCAAGUGAUAGGUGGGAAUGUAAGUUGGGGGGAAUGGGAGGUGUGAAGUGAGAAGUUGGGAGGUGAGAGAUGGAAGAGGUAAAGGGCUGAAGAAGAAAAGAUUUGAGUGGACCAGAGGUGAAAGGAAAAGAGGAGGGGCGCCAGAGGGAGGUGAUGGGCAGGUGAGGAGAAGGGAAUGGGUAAGAGAUGAGCCAUAAUGGGGAAUGGAAAACAAGUGAAGAGGAAGACGGUCAAAAUUACGGUAAGUUUUAGAAAUCAAUGUUCAUGCCAUCGGGUCGGAGGCUACCCAAAAGGAUUAUGAGGUAUUGCUCCCCCAACACCUCAUAUUGCAUCUGGAUGGCCUCCCGAAAAAAAAGACACCACAUACUGUAUUCUGUGACCUGAUUCUGAUCCUGAAGUCUCCAUUCUGCUCCAGUGUAGGAAGUGGGAUUUGAAGGGACAGCAUUCUGACAUCAAGACCACCCACUGCUGAUGCUCAAUUCACACUCAAUCUAUUGUGUCUGACAGAAUCUUCCACAACAGCUAUCCAAUUAACUAUCCCCACCAGAAAUGAGCUCACACCUUCAGAGAAAGCCAUGGAGGUGGGGAGACAUCAAAAUUAAACUGCUUAUGAUCUAGAUAGUUUGAUAGCUCAGAUUGAGGUGGAUUGUAGUUGGUUUUUUUUGCGUGACCUUGAACAAUCUGUGUUUGUAAGCUGCUGUGUGGUCUUUGUCAAGAGGGACAUUUACCUCAUGUACAUUUCCAUUUAAUUUGUUUUGAGGAAAGGAUUACAAUCAGGUUUAUUAUCACAGAUGUUAUGAAAUUUGUUGUUUUACAGCAGCAGUACAAUGCAGUACAUAAAAAUUACUAUAAAUUACGAUAAGAAAUAUGAGAAGUAAAUAAAUAGUGCAGAAAGAGUUAAUUAGUGAGGUAACACACACGAAAUGUUGGAUUCAGCAGGUCAGGCAGCAUAUAUGGAAAUAAAUAAGCAAAUAUGAGAAAGUCUAUAUAUGCUGGAAAGCAGAACUUCUCAGUGGCCAAUCAUUUUAAUUCCCACUCCCAUUCCCAUUCUGACAUGUUGAUCCAUGGCCUCCUCUUGUGGCACAAUAAGGCUACCCUCAGGGAUGAGAAACAACACCUUAUAUUCCAUCUUAGUGGCCUCCAACCUGAUGGCAAGAAAAUCAAUUUCUCCUCCAGGUAUACAAAUUUGCACCCCCCCCCCCAUUCCCCACACUGACCUUUCACUUUUUCUCACCUGCUUAUUACUUCCCUCUGGGUCCCCUCCUUCCCUUUCUCCUCUGGUCCCCGUUCUCCUCUCCUAUCAGAUUCUUUCUUCUCCAGCCCUUGACCUUUUCACCUGGCUUCACCCAUCACCUUCCAGCUAGUCUCUUUCCCCUCCCCCCAACUUUUUAUUCUGGCAUAUUCCCCCUUCUUUCUCAGUCCUGAAGAGGGGUAGCGGCCCAAAAUGUUGACUGAUUAUGCAUUUCCAGAGAUGCUGCCGGAACAGCUUAGUUCCUCCACCAUUUUGUGAGUGUUGUUUUAGAUUUCCAGCAUCUGGAGAAUUUCUUGUGUUCAAAAUAGUGAGGUAUUGUUCAUAAACCUGAUGGUAGAGGGGUAGAAGCUGUUCCGAAAAGAUUGAACCUAUGUUGCCAGACUCCUGUACAUUCUCCCUGAUGCUGGUAAUGAGAAGAGAGUAUGCCCUGGACGAGGGUCUGCAGUGAUGGAUGCUGGCUUCUCAAGGUACUAACUUUUGAUGAUGGAGAGAUUAGUGGCCAUGAUGGAGCUGGCUGAUUCGACAACCCUCUGCAGCUCUUUUCAAUUCUGUGCACUAGUCUCUCAAUACCUGGUGGUGAUGCAACCAAUCAGAAUGCUGUCCACUGCGCAUCUGUUGAAAUGUGUUAAUCCUUGGUGACAUAUCAAAUCUCCUCCAACUGCCAUUGAAGUAUAGCCACUGGUGUGCCUUCUUUCUCAUUGCGUCAAUAUAUUGGGCUCAAGAUAGAUACUUUGAGAUGUUCAAAAAGUUCAAAGUAAAUUUAUUAUCAAACUACAUAUAUGUCACCAUAUACAACUCUGAGUUUCAUUUUCUUGUGGGCAUACUCAACAAGUCUAUAGAAUAAUAACCAUAAUAGAAUCAAUGACAGAACACACCAACUUGGGCACCCAACCAGAGUGCAGAAGACAGCAAUCAGUGCAAAUAGAAAAAGGAAGAAAUAAUAAUAAUAAUAAUAAAUAAUAAAUGUAAAGAAAAUUUGAUGAAGUGUCAUUGAAAGUGAGUCCAUUGUUUGUGGGAACAAUUCAAUUAUGGGGCAAGUGAAAUUAUCCCCUUUGGUUCAAGAGCCUGAUGGUUGAGGGAUGGUAACAAGAUGGGUAACCCCAGCCAUUAUCAAUGCACUUCAGAGAUUGCCUGGCGUCAAUGGUCACAUAACCAGGACUUGUGAUAUGUACCAGCUGCAUCAUAAGACCAUCCACCAACUGCUGGUGUGAACCUGAUGGUGUGAGUCCUGAGGCUCCUGUACCUUCUUCCUGAUGGCAGCAGUGAGGAGAGAGCAUGACCUAGAUGGUGGGGAUCCCUGACGAUGGAUGCUGCUCUCCUGAAAUAGUGUUUCAUGUAGAUAUGCUCAUUGGUGGGGAGGGCUUACCCAUGAUGGACUAGGCCUUGUCCACUACUUUUUGUGGGAUUUUCCAUUCAAGGACAUUGGUACUUCCAUACCAAGCUGUGAUGCAGUCAGUCAAUAUAACUGGCAAUGAGGAAGUAGAGGCUGUCUUCAUAAUCACACUUAUGUGCUGGGCCCAGGGGAGGUCCUUUGACACCCAGGAACUUAACACUGCUUACCACUUAAUGAGGACUGCUGCUCAUUCUCCUGGCUCCCCUUCCAGAUGUCCACAAGCAAGUGCUUGGUCUUAGUGACAUUGAGUGGCAGGAUGUCGAUGCUUGGUCCGGAUUAAACACAUGCGUGCAGGCAGAGGCGCAUUUGAGCUAACAUUAUACAUUCAGUGUCCAUAUAAGCCUCAUUCCUGGCAGGACUGCUCCUUUCCUUCCUCAUCAUUGUGUUCCAUGUCGUGUGACAUAGGCAGUCAUGGUCUCAUGGGCAUGAUUGUUCUUGGCAAAAUUUGUCGACAGAAGUGGUUUGCCAUUGCCUUCUUCUGGGCAGGUGACCCCAGCCAUUAUCAAUGCACUUCAGAGAUUGUCUGUCUGGUGUCAGUGGUCACAACACCAGGACUUGUGAUGUGCACCGGCUGCUCAUACGAGCAUCCACCACCUGCUCCCGUGGCUUCACAUGUCCUUGACUGAAGGGUUAAGCAGGUGCAACACUUUAGGCAAGAGAACCUGCAGUCUAGCGGUGGGAAGGAGCACCUUACUCCUCCUUGAUAGACACGUAUCUCCACCCCACCACCCCACUUUCCUUCGAGGCUGGUUCCUUGUUCUGGGCGGUGAAUUUUCUCUGGGCUUUUUAUCACAUUUGUUGCGACUGCUGAAAUUGAUGAGACCAGUGUACUGGGACCAGAAAGGAGUCCUUUAGUCAUGAGCAGCAAGUUAGUCUUGAUGGAUUGGUCAGGCUGGGUUACUGACCAUCUGUUCAUCGUUGUGUUUGGCAGAGGGGCGAGGAACAAUUGUGUUAGGGUUGGCUUGUAAACAGAGCUAUAAAAGUAACCCUUCUACCCCACAUGUUUGUAGUUUAAUAAUGCUUUCAAGUAGAGAUUGAAAUUAGUAUUUUGUAAGUCAUGCAGCACAGUAACAGACUUUUCAGCCCAGUGUUUCCAUGCUAACGAAGGUGUCCACCAAACUAGUCCCAUUUGCCUGAUUUGGCCCAUCUCCUUCCAAACCCUCCUAUCCAUGUAUUAAGCCAAAUGUCUUUUAAGUGUUAUCAUGGUACCUACCUCAACCAUUCUCUCCGGUAGCUCAUUCCAAAUCGCUGCUGAGGCCUCACUAGCAGUAUUGUGAGCAGUUUUGGAUCUGUUUUCUCAGAGAGGAUGUGCGGACACUGGAGAUAGUUCAAAGGAGGUUCACGAGAAUUAUUACAGGGUUGAAAGGAGCAUUUGCCAUAUGUAGAGCAUUGGAUGGUUCUGGGCUUCAAUUCAAGAGAAUGAGGGGGGACUUCAUUGAAAUCUUUCGAAUGUUGAAAGGCCCGGAUAGAAUGGAUAUGGACAGUCUGUUUCCUAUGGUGGGGGAAUCUAAGACCAGAGGAUACAGCCUCAAAAUAGAGGGGCAUCCUUUUAGAAUGGAGAUGAGGAGGAAUUUCUUUAGCCAGAGAAUGUUGAAUCUGUGGAAUUCAUUGUCACAGGCAGCUGUGGAGGCCAGGUAAUCGGGUAUAUUUAAGGUAUUUAAGUUGCCAUUCCUUGAGACCUCUUAUUUUAUAUACCGCUGUGAGGUCACCUCUCAGUUUCCUAUGUUUCAAGAACUAAAGUCCAGCUUGCCCAACCUCUCCCUUAUAACUUUUGAAUAUUUAGCAGUCAAAGGUUGCUAUGUUGCCAUUGGCAACACUGUGAUAGGUACUGAAUAGAGUCUAGGGUGGGGAGGAUGACUGGACGUUCAGCAAACAGAUGAUCGCACAACAAAACAAAGUUAUUUCACUUGGAAAACUGUUGUGCUGGAGAAACUCCCUUAAAGCAGCACACACACAAAACCGCUGGAGGCACCCUGUAAGUCAGGGAGCAUUUAUGGAAAGGCAUAGUCAGAACGGGAAAGGAAUGGGAAAGACUACAAAAUGAGAUGCUGGGGCAAUGGGAAGGAGGAUAGUUAGAAGGAGAUAGCUGAAUCCAGGCGGGAAGAAAAGGUACAGGGCUGGAGAGGAAGGAAUCUCUUUAACGAGUGAUGUAAUUAGGGCUGAUCAAUCCAAGAAAUGCAGGGCGUGGCUAAAUGUUGCACAGGUAGUGUGCUUCAUAUCAGUUUCAGCAGCCUGAGGAACUCAUGAUAGCAAUGUGGCCUGGUAGUGUAGAGGUUAGUGUAACACUUUACAGCACAAGCCGUGAGAUCGCGGCUCAGUUUCUGCCGCAGUCUAUAAGGCGUUUGUAUGUUCUCCCCCCCAACUGCAUUCGGUUUCCUCCCAGAGAAGGAGAUAAUGGUUGGUGGGUUAAUUGGAUUUUGUAGAUUGUCCCGAGAUUAGGGUAGGGUUAAGUAUGGGUGCAGCUCGAAAGGCCGGGAGGACCUGUUCCGUGCAGUAUCUCAAUAAAUGAAUAAAUUACCGCUUACUACCUUCAGAUUCAUUUUCUUGCAGGCAUUUACAGGAAACGUAAUUUCCCCCAGGAUCAAUAAAGUAUGACUAUGACUAUGUAACAGAUUAUAAUAACUAUGCACAAAGACUGACAACAGCCAGUGUGCAAAAGAAGACAAACUGUGCAAAUAGUGAGAUACUGUGAGAGCAUGAAUUGCAAUAGUGAGAGCAGGAGUUGUAAAGAGUCCUUGAAUAAGAGUCUGCAGUCACAAAAUCAGUUCGGAAAGUUAUCCAUGCCUCUUCACGAACCUGGUGGCUUUAGGUGAACGCAGCAGGCCAGGCAGCAUCUAUAGGAAGAGGUAUAGUCAACGUUUCGAGCCGACACCCUUCGUCAGCACUAACUGGAAGAAGAUAUCUUUUUUUACGUGUGUUGCUUGAAAUCCCAGCAUCUACAGAUUUCCUCGUGUGUGCGGCUUUAGGGUAAUAUCAGUUCCUGAUUGAUUACUGUAGAAUGCCGGAAUAAUUCAAGCCAGUGGCACUGAUUAAUACCAUUAAAAUGAUGUUUCUUUAUAAAGAGGGAAUCAAUCCUAAUUUUUAAGGUUUCUGCAGUUCACUAUUAUAAUAUUGGCUACAAUACGUAACAAAUAGAAAGUAUAUGGCCCCUCCCUCUACCUUUUUAUUCUGGCAUGUUCCCUUUUCCUUUCCAGUCCUGGAGAAGGGUUUUGGCCUGAAAUGUCGAUUGUUUAUUCAUUUCUAUAGAUGCUGCCUAAACUACAGAACUCCUCCAGCAUUUUUGUGUCUUGCUUCGCAGAAUUUCUCCUGAAAAAGGAUAUGGUGCAGGUCAACCCAAAUGGUUUUAAUUGGUUUAUAAACUAAUGUUAAAAAACAUCAGACUUGAGGAUGACAUUUGUACUGCAACAUUAAAGGAAUUUUACACCCUUUUGCCUGCCAUUUGGCCUUUAUUGUUGACUUGGCUCCUGAAUUAAUUAGUGGCUUGCAUAACUGAGGGUCUGGAGAUUCUUUGUGGCAUCACCUUAUUGGUUUGAUCCUCUGCUGCCUAGUUCACAGUGUGGAGCUUGAUCAGUGACUGAAUGCAUUGUUCCACAGGCAAAGCGGAAUGAGGUCGUGAAGUAAUGAGUUUGACAGGACGUGGUUUAAUUAGGUGCAAAUGUGGCCCUGCUAAUCUGGUUGGGGUUGUGUUCGUCCUUUGUCUGUGCAGCUUGAUCCACAGAAAGGUUAUGGGUUUGAGGAAUCUCUGGAAUGUAGCUGUCUGCAUCUCUUUCAUCCUUUUCAUUGAAAGACAUGCGUGCACACACACACACACACACACACACACACACACACACACAUACACACACACAACCACAAAAUGGAAUACAUUUUUAUUAGAACAACACACACAAAU
Molecule: RNA transcript, 20463 nt
Organism: Mobula hypostoma (lesser devil ray)
Lineage: Eukaryota; Metazoa; Chordata; Chondrichthyes; Myliobatiformes; Myliobatidae
Gene name: protocadherin-1-like
Exons: 4
Source: RefSeq, a predicted model, not a curated record